This is a long non-coding RNA of Panonychus citri (citrus red mite), 1142 nucleotides long. RefSeq lists it as uncharacterized. The transcript is spliced from 3 exons. NCBI's taxonomy places the organism in Eukaryota, Metazoa, Arthropoda, Arachnida, Trombidiformes, Tetranychidae. The record is from RefSeq and is a predicted model, not a curated record.
CUUCUUGGAUUAUUGAGUUUUGGUUGAUUGUUUUUGGUCAAUAUUUUGAUAGUCAAUUUGGUGGUUUGUCCUUAAAUUGGAUUAGAUUUGAAUUCUAAUUUUCUAAUCAAUUUCUGUCAUCAAAUGGAUUGAAUAGAGAAGGUCAAUUCCUGAGAUAAGAUGAGAUUUUCUUUCUUUGUUAUAGGAAAUUUUAUAACCGAAAAAGAAACAAUAACAUGGACUUGUUAUCUUUCCAAGAGUAGUGGUGGUUUUAACGUCUAAUUUAAGGAGCUGUUAAUUGUGUUAAAAUUUACCUGUUGGAAUUUGAUAAAUUGUUCUUUUGUCGUAAAACAAUGCGAAAGGUAACCUAAUGAUAACAAAUGUUCAAACAAGAUAAUAUGUUGGCUAUUUUAAUGGUCGGUGUAACAUUGAAGAAAAGAGGAAAAUCCAUUAAAAGUAGCGUCACAAUGGACAAGGAACCCAAAUCCAUAAAUGGAAAACAAGAAGACCAAAUAGGAAAAGAAGAGAAAAUUUACCUUAGGAAAUAUGAGCAACUAGUGCCAUCUUAUUUUCACUUCGGACAAUCAGUGUAAACAAAAGUGACCAUUUUAAAAUUUAAUUUCCAUUCUAAAGGGUAGAAGAAAGUGAAAGGGUAACAUUGAUUAACUCUAAUUGUUGGCUCGUUGCUACAAUUUACUCUCACUUGACAACUUGUCAGAAAGGAAAAACUUUUCCUUCUCAACAGUGAUAACCUGUUUACAAGCUCGGUUGAUUUUAAUGUGAAAAAAAAGCUGAAAUAUACAAAUUGAGUCACAAUCAGAUAUUCAUUCAGAAGUCAUCGUGUCGACGAAAUGAUCUUUAGACGAUUCACCCUGAGGAUCAUGCUCAAGGUUCUGUUUUCAAGUGAAUUUCAAAUAUAUUUAGUUUUACAUGUUCUUUUCCUACCUGAUGAAUACACACACACAUACACAUAUAAGUGUGAAUACUUUUUUCUUGAAUCUCUCGCUCACUAAUUCCUCUUACAUGAUGAAUAUACACCAAAAGUGAGCGAGUGUAAGUACGCUUAGAAAAUGAGUAUAUAUACAUGUACAUGUUUAAUAAGAUAGAUGAUAGUGAAUAAUUGAGUCGUUGUUUUGCAACAAUUAAAUGACCUUUCGACCCAA